Molecule: ribosomal RNA, 734 nt
Filed under: Bacillus cereus
Lineage: Bacteria; Bacillati; Bacillota; Bacilli; Caryophanales; Bacillaceae
Description: bacterial SSU rRNA
Rfam family: Bacterial small subunit ribosomal RNA
Source: RNAcentral
AGCUGGCGGCGUGCCUAUACAUGCAAGUCGAGCGAAUGGAUUAAGAGCUUGCUCUUAUGAAGUUAGCGGCGGACGGGUGAGUAACACGUGGGUAACCUGCCCAUAAGACUGGGAUAACUCCGGGAAACCGGGGCUAAUACCGGAUAACAUUUUGAACCGCAUGGUUCGAAAUUGAAAGGCGGCUUCGGCUGUCACUUAUGGAUGGACCCGCGUCGCAUUAGCUAGUUGGUGAGGUAACGGCUCACCAAGGCAACGAUGCGUAGCCGACCUGAGAGGGUGAUCGGCCACACUGGGACUGAGACACGGCCCAGACUCCUACGGGAGGCAGCAGUAGGGAAUCUUCCGCAAUGGACGAAAGUCUGACGGAGCAACGCCGCGUGAGUGAUGAAGGCUUUCGGGUCGUAAAACUCUGUUGUUAGGGAAGAACAAGUGCUAGUUGAAUAAGCUGGCACCUUGACGGUACCUAACCAGAAAGCCACGGCUAACUACGUGCCAGCAGCCGCGGUAAUACGUAGGUGGCAAGCGUUAUCCGGAAUUAUUGGGCGUAAAGCGCGCGCAGGUGGUUUCUUAAGUCUGAUGUGAAAGCCCACGGCUCAACCGUGGAGGGUCAUUGGAAACUGGGAGACUUGAGUGCAGAAGAGGAAAGUGGAAUUCCAUGUGUAGCGGUGAAUGCGUAGAGAUAUGGGAGGAACACCANUGGCGAAGGCGACUUUCUGGUCUGUAACUGACACUGA